GGAUCUGUAGCUCAGCUGGUUAGAGCGUUCGAUUCACAUUCGAAAGGUCGGUGGUUCAAGUCCACCCAGAUCCA
RNAcentral lists this transfer RNA (74 nucleotides) under Candidatus Roizmanbacteria bacterium CG10_big_fil_rev_8_21_14_0_10_39_6. RNAcentral describes it as "tRNA-Val". It matches the Rfam family "tRNA". From Rfam's summary of the family: Transfer RNA (tRNA) molecules are approximately 80 nucleotides in length. Their secondary structure includes four short double-helical elements and three loops (D, anti-codon, and T loops). The record is from RNAcentral. Lineage: Bacteria; Candidatus Roizmaniibacteriota.